Lactuca sativa (garden lettuce) is the source of this 133-nucleotide small nucleolar RNA. RefSeq annotates it as small nucleolar RNA snoR104. The record is from RefSeq and is a predicted model, not a curated record. NCBI's taxonomy places the organism in Eukaryota, Viridiplantae, Streptophyta, Magnoliopsida, Asterales, Asteraceae.
GGGGAGCAUUUAAAGUUUAAAUGUUGCCUAAUAUACCCUUCCUAGAACAAAAAAUAAAAAAGAAAAAUAUCUGCUUUUCCUACUUGUUGUACGUGAGACACGUCUACAAGCCUCUUGACUAUGAGAUACAUAU